RNAcentral lists this unclassified non-coding RNA (217 nucleotides) under Hevea brasiliensis (rubber tree). The record is from RNAcentral. Lineage: Eukaryota; Viridiplantae; Streptophyta; Magnoliopsida; Malpighiales; Euphorbiaceae.
GAGCUUUUCGCCAGGUUUGAAGAAGAUCGAGAGACCGAAGUCAAUGGCCUUGAGAGGCGAAGUCUCCUUGUUGUUAGCAAAGAGGAAGUUCUCCGGCUUCAGAUCCCGAUGUAUAACCCCAUGGCGAUGACACAGCUGCACAACCUCGACAAUCGUCCGCAUAACCGCCGCCGCUGCCCGCUCAGAGUAGUGCCCCCGGGCCACGAUCCGAUCAAAC